UACGGAGGAUGCAAGCGUUAUCCGGAAUGAUUGGGCGUAAAGCGUCCGUAGGUGGCUGUGUAAGUCUGCUGUCAAAGAGCAAAGCUCAACUUUGUAAAGGCAGUGGAAACUACACGGCUAGAGUGCGUUCGGGGCAGAGGGAAUUCCUGGUGUAGCGGUGAAAUGCGUAGAGAUCAGGAAGAACACCGGUGGCGAAGGCGCUCUGCUAGGCCGCAACUGACACUGAGGGACGAAAGCUAGGGGAGCGAAUGGG
Molecule: ribosomal RNA, 253 nt
Filed under: uncultured bacterium
Lineage: Bacteria
Description: partial 16S ribosomal RNA
Rfam family: Bacterial small subunit ribosomal RNA
Source: RNAcentral